Molecule: long non-coding RNA, 728 nt
Filed under: Arachis ipaensis
Lineage: Eukaryota; Viridiplantae; Streptophyta; Magnoliopsida; Fabales; Fabaceae
Description: long non-coding RNA (AIPA_LNC002565)
Source: RNAcentral
UGCAUUGAACAGUUAUUAUCCAAUUCAAAUGACUAAUUAAAGUGACUAAAAUUUUGCUAUAGAAACUUAUUCAACAAAACUAUCAAAAUAGCUAUAAUAACUAACUUUUUUAUCCAUUAUCAGAAGCCGAAGAAAAGCAUCUUCUUCAUUCUCCUCCCUAUGAUCAAUUAAACUCCUCAUUCUGAUGAUUCUGAGUGUUAUCUUCCAACAUUCCUUCCAGGGGAUGAGAUUAGAGAGGAGCUUUUUUGAAUCAGUUGACACUAAGCAUAGUUCAUUUGUUUCAUCUAUCACACAAGCAGCAAUACAAACAAAACUACCCAAAUUUCAGAAGAAAAUCAUAAGGGAAUGGAUAAACAGGACCAAAAACAAUUAUUGUUACUGGAACACAACAUCUUAUAUCAAAACAAAAAAUCCAAUUUUCAAAACAGAAUCAGAAAAGAACGCCCAAACAGGGACAAAAACAAAGCCUGUUAAUUGAAAGGAAACUUGAGUAUCAAAGUAAACAAAUAUCAAAGAAUCUGAAAUAAGUCAUAACCACUACAUACCUACAUCACAGAAAAUUCAGACUGAAUAGUGAAACACGCCACAUGAUGGAAGGGGACAGAGAAAGGACAGGGCCGCAGUAAAAAUUCCCACCUAACUUGUUGUUUCCCAAGAUAAGAGAGAGGCAGAGUGACAUGAACCCUAGGCUGAUUUCCUCUUGAGAACUACCACCGAUCUUUAAAUGA